GGCCUAGUACCCAAGCAGUUAGGGAGCGGUCUGCAAAACCGUUUUACGCGAGUGCAAAUCUCGCCUAGGCCU
RNAcentral lists this transfer RNA (72 nucleotides) under Patescibacteria group bacterium. RNAcentral describes it as "tRNA-Cys". It matches the Rfam family "tRNA". Rfam says of the family: Transfer RNA (tRNA) molecules are approximately 80 nucleotides in length. The record is from RNAcentral.